GAUGAACGCUGGCGGCGUGCCUAAUACAUGCAAGUCGAGCGAACAGACGAGGAGCUUGCUCCUCUGACGUUAGCGGCGGACGGGUGAGUAACACGUGGAUAACCUACCUAUAAGACUGGGAUAACUUCGGGAAACCGGAGCUAAUACCGGAUAAUAUAUUGAACCGCAUGGUUCAAUAGUGAAAGACGGUUUUGCUGUCACUUAUAGAUGGAUCCGCGCCGCAUUAGCUAGUUGGUAAGGUAACGGCUUACCAAGGCAACGAUGCGUAGCCGACCUGAGAGGGUGAUCGGCCACACUGGAACUGAGACACGGUCCAGACUCCUACGGGAGGCAGCAGUAGGGAAUCUUCCGCAAUGGGCGAAAGCCUGACGGAGCAACGCCGCGUGAGUGAUGAAGGUCUUCGGAUCGUAAAACUCUGUUAUUAGGGAAGAACAAAUGUGUAAGUAACUAUGCACGUCUUGACGGUACCCAAUCAGAAAGCCACGGCUAACUACGU
RNAcentral lists this ribosomal RNA (496 nucleotides) under uncultured bacterium. RNAcentral's name for it is "partial 16S ribosomal RNA". It matches the Rfam family "Bacterial small subunit ribosomal RNA", at positions 28 to 506 of the family's 1533-position model. The record is from RNAcentral.